Erigeron canadensis is the source of this 412-nucleotide long non-coding RNA. RefSeq lists it as uncharacterized. NCBI's taxonomy places the organism in Eukaryota, Viridiplantae, Streptophyta, Magnoliopsida, Asterales, Asteraceae. The record is from RefSeq and is a predicted model, not a curated record. The transcript is spliced from 2 exons.
CUGGGUCUAUCGACACCAUUAUGGCCAAUGGCGUGUAGCUUUGUUGGUAAGGGCUGGGGGAAUCUUCACAGAUAGUGCAAGAUCUCUGGUUCAAGCCUAGACAGCCGCAUAGCCACAACCAUUGAGAAGAUAUAUGGAUCGUGUGACUGAAGAAAGUCUGAUGGAAUGGAUGAUCAACACGAACAUGUAUAUAUGAAGCAGGUUUUGUGAGGUUGGAUGUGAUUAAUUAGGGAAGUAAAUAAGCUAGCUGGAUGCAUGGUAAGCUAGCUAGGGGUGUGAUUAUAUAUAUAGAAACGGUAGUUGAAUACGUAAUGAAAUAAGUCGAUCAAUCCACAUAUCUAUAAUAGAUAUUAUCAAGUAUAUUUUUUUUUUUGAUAUGAUAUAUACUUAGUUAUCUAUGCAUUUGGAUUCA